This 94-nucleotide transfer RNA is filed under the name Gaiellales bacterium. Its description in RNAcentral is "tRNA-Ser". It matches the Rfam family "tRNA". From Rfam's summary of the family: Transfer RNA (tRNA) molecules are approximately 80 nucleotides in length. Lineage: Bacteria; Bacillati; Actinomycetota; Thermoleophilia; Gaiellales. The record is from RNAcentral.
GGAGGGGUGGCGGAGUCCGGUUGAACGCACCGGUCUUGAAAACCGGCAGGGGCGGCAACGUCCCUCGUGGGUUCGAAUCCCACCCCCUCCGCCA